Antechinus flavipes (yellow-footed antechinus) is the source of this 2496-nucleotide long non-coding RNA. RefSeq lists it as uncharacterized. The transcript has 2 exons. The record is from RefSeq and is a predicted model, not a curated record. Lineage: Eukaryota; Metazoa; Chordata; Mammalia; Dasyuromorphia; Dasyuridae.
UGGAGCAUGUAUAGACAUUCUAAAACUGGUUCAGUUCUGCUCUGGAAUUGUAUCAGAAAUUCUAACGUGAACCACAUCAGGAAUUGUAUCAGCGGCAGUCUAAUGCACUCUGCAUAGGCUCGAGGCAACUGAACUUAUUGGUCAGCCCCAUAUUACAAUAAUAUAACUAUAUUAUAAAAACCCUAGUUACACUCUCCCACCAAAUGUAGACAAAAUCCAUGGAAGAAAGUGGCCACAAACUUAUAAAAACCUAAUAGUUUUGACUAUGACUAGAGAAAUCCAUAUGUCUAGGGCAUCUUACAACUCUGGACUGUAAGCUACGUUAUCCUGGAUCUCUUCAGGGAACAGCUGCAUCAUGUACCUCCUGUUGGAUAUGACCUCUUCUGGACUGUUUUAUUUUGCCGAAUGAAGCCCCUUCUUUGGUACUCUCAGUGGUUGAAGCAGGGUGGAAUUUUUUGAGCAAACAUUAUUCUGAAGCCUGGGAUCUUCACGAUAUCAUAAAGCAUGCUCCUUUGUUUGGGUGUUGAAAUAGCCAUUAAGUCCAGAAUCUGCAAAGUUUUUCAGCUUGGCUUUUAGAAAUUUAAGGUCUACCCUUUCUAGACCCAAAAAAAAAGCAAUAAAAGGAAAAUUAGGCAAAUGUCUCCAGGGUUUCUGUUUUCUCCAGAUGUGGGUGGCACUUCAAAGUAGAGCAGUCAGUUAUGCCCCAGCCAGCUGUCCUAACAGCCAGUGAAUUCUGCUUUCUCUAAUCAGCUCCCAGCACUAGCUUUUCUAAAUCAGAUCAUCUCCCUAUAUCAAAUGCAGAGUUCAUCUGUUUCUAAUUGUCUGAUAUCAGCUGAGAACAGGUGUUGUUAUAAUCUAUCUCUACUGCCCUUUUUGCUUGUCAAUUUUUCAGUGCAUUUUAAUUUCUCAGCUCAGUUGAAUUCUAUUUCUACAUUCAGCUUUUAGUAUCACAGUCCUCCAGUUUCUCUGCCUUUCUAGCCACAAAUCAAGGCUUCCUUAGGUGUAGUGACCCACCACUAAUGAAUAGGACACUCAUAAUCUUCUGCCUGAUCUCCAAGGUGCCACUUCCUCCUUUUUUUUUUUUUUUUUAAGGGCAAUGGAGGUUAAGUGACUUGCCCAAGAUCACACAGCUAGUAAGUUUCUGAGACUGAAUUUGAACUCAGGUUUUUCUGACUCCUGGACUAGUGCUCUAACCAGUAGAUCACCAUGCUGCUUUUUCCUCCUCCUUUCUUGUUUUCUUAAGACUUCCUUUGUUUGCCUUGUUUAUCUCUGCUCAAGAUCAGGCUCUUCAGCCCUCUAGGUAAUUUGUCCCCAGACAAAAGAAGUCAGAUGAACAGGGCAUAAAAAGACAAUUUUACAAGAAAUACAGAGAAAAGCGGCUUGAAGAGAAACAGUUCUGAGAGGACUUGAAAGAAAGCAGCCUCUCAGACAUAAAAGUAUUGUCUGAUAGUAAAGAUGGCUACAGGGCAUUGUUUUCUAGAAGCGAAUUUACAUAUGUUAAGUUUAUUAUAUUUUUAAAAAAGAAAACCAGGUUGUACAUCAUAGAGAUUAGCAGUUUCACUUAUAAUCUUCUUUUCAGUUUUACUCUGGGCAUAUGUAUGGAAACGUUCAUUUCAUUUGAUGUUUGCUAAGUUCAGAAUGAAAAUAAAACUUUGUUCUCAUUUCUCAUUCCAAUGAUCUCCAAAUAGAUUCAGAGAGUUCAGGACAAACUGACCUUUCCUGCUUUUCUGCUUCUGUUUCUACUCAAUCACAUAUACACAGGUGAGGUCAUUAUGGGCUUUAGCAAUAGCCAUAGAGUUAAUAAUGAAUGUAACCCACCUUUAGGAGCUCAGCCAAAAAAACAGAAAAAAGAAAAAACAAGGAGGAUGUGGGACAGUCUUCCUUCCAACAUUACAUAAAUUCCAAGAGAGUUUCAAACCUGAUCUUCUGAAGACAAACUACCUAACGUGCUUAAGAGCCUGACCUUGGGAAGAAACUUGUGGAUAAGAGAUGGAGAAGCCAAAGGAGAUUCCUACAUCCUGUAAGCUGACCUGCUGAGGAAUCCUCAGGACCCUUGGACCUUCCCAUCCUUCCUGAGCGGAGCUCUCUGAUGUGCUGUCUCCCCCCAUCCAAGUGGGAGCUCCCUGAGAGCAAGGACUGUCUCACUGAAGCCCCCCAGCACUCUGAUUAGAAAGGGAAGGGGAAGAACAUUUAUAUAAUGCCCUCUAGGGCCUUUGUGCUUUACACUGUGCUCAGUGCUUUACAAAUGUUAUCUCCUUUGUCCCUCACAAGAACCCUGAGAGGUAGGUGCUAUUAGUGUACCCAUUUUACAGCUGAGGAAGCUGUGGUAAACAGAGAUUACAUGACUUGUCCAAAGUCACAUAAUUAAUGUCUGAGGCCAAAUUUGAACUUGAGCCUUCCUGACUCUAGGCCCACUGCUCUGUUUACUGUAUCACUUAGCUGUCUGUGCAUAAUAAGUGUUUAAUAAAGUAUUUAAUAAAUUCUUUUUUAAAAUUG